Molecule: unclassified non-coding RNA, 263 nt
Filed under: uncultured Hygrocybe
Lineage: Eukaryota; Fungi; Basidiomycota; Agaricomycetes; Agaricales; Hygrophoraceae
Description: partial contains 5.8S ribosomal RNA, internal transcribed spacer 2, and large subunit ribosomal RNA
Rfam family: 5.8S ribosomal RNA (bases 1-52)
Source: RNAcentral
AACGCACAUUGCGCCUCUUGGUAUUCCGAGGGGCAUGUCUGUUUGAGCGUCAGUACACACCUCCAGCGAGAUUUUCUUCUCGUCGGGUCUUGGGAUGCGGCGUCGCUCCGGCGCGUCUUCUCCCUAAUGUGGCACGCUUGCGGGCUCCCGGCCAGAUGUCGACGUAGUAAAUCUCAAACUCGUUCCCAGCUGUCGCGAGCCCCGCCUGAAUCGAACUCUUAUGGUUUGACCUCAGAUCAGACAAGGAUACCCGCUGAACUUAA